RNAcentral lists this ribosomal RNA (541 nucleotides) under uncultured archaeon. Its description in RNAcentral is "bacterial SSU rRNA". It matches the Rfam family "Bacterial small subunit ribosomal RNA", at positions 509 to 1050 of the family's 1533-position model. The record is from RNAcentral.
CAGCCGCCGCGGUAAUACGUAGGGGGCAAGCGUUGUCCGGAUUUAUUGGGCGUAAAGAGCUCGUAGGCGGCUUGGUAAGUCGAUCGUGAAAACCAGAGGCUCAACCUCUGGACGUCGGUCGAUACUGCCAUGGCUAGAGUCCGGUAGAGGAGAGUGGAAUUCCCGGUGUAGCGGUGGAAUGCGCAGAUAUCGGGAGGAACACCAGUAGCGAAGGCGGCUCUCUGGGCCGGAACUGACGCUGAGGAGCGAAAGCGUGGGUAGCAAACAGGAUUAGAUACCCUGGUAGUCCACGCCGUAAACGUUGGGUACUAGGUGUGGCGUCUUAUCAACGGAUGCCGUGCCGAAGCUAACGCAUUAAGUACCCCGCCUGGGGAGUACGGCCGCAAGGCUAAAACUCAAAGGAAUUGACGGGUCCCCGCACAAGCGGCGGAGCAUGCGGCUUAAUUCGAUGCAACCCGAAGAACCUUACCUGGUCUUGACAUCAUGGGUCUAUCCCCCGAAACGGGGAGUGCUUUGCGCCCAUGACAGGUGGUGCAUGGCC